This 496-nucleotide ribosomal RNA is filed under the name uncultured bacterium. RNAcentral's name for it is "partial 16S ribosomal RNA". It matches the Rfam family "Bacterial small subunit ribosomal RNA", at positions 28 to 506 of the family's 1533-position model. The record is from RNAcentral.
GAUGAACGCUGGCGGCGUGCCUAAUACAUGCAAGUCGAGCGAACAGACGAGGAGCUUGCUCCUCUGACGUUAGCGGCGGACGGGUGAGUAACACGUGGAUAACCUACCUAUAAGACUGGGAUAACUUCGGGAAACCGGAGCUAAUACCGGAUAAUAUAUUGAACCGCAUGGUUCAAUAGUGAAAGACGGUUUUGCUGUCACUUAUAGAUGGAUCCGCGCCGCAUUAGCUAGUUGGUAAGGUAACGGCUUACCAAGGCAACGAUGCGUAGCCGACCUGAGAGGGGAAUCGGCCACCCUGGAACGGAGACCCGGUCCAAACUCCAACGGGGGGCAGAGGUAGGGAAUUUUCCGCAAUGGGCGAAAGCCUGACGGAGCAACGCCGGGGGGGUGAUGAAGGUUUUCGGAUCGUAAAACUCUUUUAUUAGGGAAGAAAAAAUGUGUAAGUAACUAUGCACGUUUGGAGGGUACCUAACCAGAAAGCCACGGCUAACUACGG